AUUGAACGCUGGCGGCAUGCUUUACACAUGCAAGUCGAACGGUAACAGGCCGCAAGGUGCUGACGAGUGGCGAACGGGUGAGUAAUGCAUCGGAACGUGCCCAGUCGUGGGGGAUAACGCAGCGAAAGCUGUGCUAACACCGCAUACGAUCUAUGGAUGAAAGCGGGGGACCGUAAGGCCUCGCGCGAUUGGAGCGGCCGAUGUCAGAUGCGGUAGUGGGUGGGGUAAAGGCUCACCAAGCCUACGAUCUGUAGCGGGUCUGAGAGGACGACCAGCCACACUGGGACUGAGACACGGCCCAGACUCCUACGGGAGGCAGCAGUGGGGAAUUUUGGACAAUGGGCGCAAGCCUGAUCCAGCAAUGCCGCGUGCAGGAAGAAGGCCUUCGGGUUGUAAACUGCUUUUGUACGGAACGAAAAGGUUUGGGUUAAUACCCUGGGCCGAUGACGGUACCGUAAGAAUAAGCACCGGCUAACUACGUGCCAGCAGCCGCCGUAA
Molecule: ribosomal RNA, 498 nt
Filed under: uncultured bacterium
Lineage: Bacteria
Description: partial 16S ribosomal RNA
Rfam family: Bacterial small subunit ribosomal RNA
Source: RNAcentral